RNAcentral lists this ribosomal RNA (458 nucleotides) under Indirana brachytarsus (Anamallais Indian frog). Its description in RNAcentral is "partial 16S ribosomal RNA". It matches the Rfam family "Bacterial large subunit ribosomal RNA", at positions 1980 to 2604 of the family's 2925-position model. Lineage: Eukaryota; Metazoa; Chordata; Amphibia; Anura; Ranixalidae. The record is from RNAcentral.
AUGGGGACUUGUAUCAACGGCAUCACGAGGGCCAUACUGUCUCCUUUUUCCAAUCAGUGAAACUGAUCUUCCCGUGAAGAAGCGGGAAUUAACCUAUAAGACGAGAAGACCCCAUGGAGCUUUAAACCCAACAACAAGUCUAAAUAAACAUACCCUAAAAAUUAGUGACACCUGAACUGUUGGUUUUAGGUUGGGGUGACCGCGGAGUAUAAAUUAACCUCCACGACGAACGGGACUAAACCCUUAUCUACGAGCCACCGCUCUAAGAAUCAGCACACUGACUUCUAAUGAUCCGAUAUUCGAUCAACGAACCAAGUUACCCUGGGGAUAACAGCGCUAUCCAUUUCAAGAGCUCCUAUCGACAAAUGGGUUUACGACCUCGAUGUUGGAUCAGGGUAUCCUAGUGGUGCAGCCGCUACUAAAGGUUUGUUUGUUCAACAAUUAAAACCCUACGUGAU